Molecule: ribosomal RNA, 696 nt
Filed under: Psychromonas sp. IC047
Lineage: Bacteria; Pseudomonadati; Pseudomonadota; Gammaproteobacteria; Alteromonadales; Psychromonadaceae
Description: bacterial SSU rRNA
Rfam family: Bacterial small subunit ribosomal RNA
Source: RNAcentral
CCNNNGUCAGNUUGAACGCUGGCGGCAGGCUUAACACAUGCAAGUCGAACGGUAACAGGUCAUAGCUUGCUAUUUUGCUGACCAGUGGCGGACGGGUGAGUCAUGCUUGGGAAUUUGCCCACAGGUGGGGGACAACAGUUGGAAACGACUGCCAAUACCGCAUACUGUCUACAGACAAAAGGUGGCCUCUAGUUAUAUGCUAUCGCCUUUCGAAGAGCCCAAGUGGGAUUAGCUAGUUGGCCAGGUAAUGGCUUACCAAGGCUUCGAUCCCUAGCUGGUCUGAGAGGAUGACCAGUCACACNGGAACUGAGACACGGUCCAGACUCCUACGGGAGGGAAAUGUUGGGUUAAGUCCCGUAACGAGCGCAACCCCUGUCCUUAGUUGCUAGCACGUAAUGGUGGGAACUCUAGGGAGACUGCCGGUGAUAAACCGGAGGAAGGUGGGGACGACGUCAAGUCAUCAUGGCCCUUACGGGAUGGGCUACAUACGUGCUACAAUGGCAAAUACAAAGGGUUGAUAACCUGCGAGGGUAUGCGAAUCUCAUAAAGUUUGUCGUAGUCCGGAUCGGAGUCUGCAACUCGACUCCGUGAAGUUGGAAUCGCUAGUAAUCGUGGAUCAGAAUGCCACGGUGAAUACGUUCCCGGGCCUUGUACACACCGCCCGUCACACCAUGGGAGUGGGUUGCACCAGAAGUG